AUUGCGCAUCAAAGCAUAUUCACUUUGACAGACAAUAAUGGAGGUUAUAAUAUCAACUAUCGCCGGUGUGUUUGUAAGUCACGUGACUACAUGCAGCGCCCACACCUGGUGAUGCAUGCAGGCCCAGGUGAGUUUGGACAGGCGAGCCUCGUCAUUGGUUCACUAGAGCUCGGAGCUGUGAUGAAAUAAACCUUGAAGACUUGCACAUGAAGAAAGGAGCUCCAGAGGAGAUGGUACCCGGUGCCUGCCUCCUGCGUUCUGGAAUAUUGAAAGACUUGCAAGUGCAUUCUGUUUCCCCCACUGAUAAUCCAAUUGGGAAAACCAAUAACAUGUUCCUCACAGACCACGCUGGAGCCUCUGCACAUUUCUAUGGAGUGGUGUUGUGGUGCAAGAGGACUGCUCAUUCAUAUAGUGAUACACAUCAGAUCAGAGACGAGGAAACACCCAGGCGCAAGUGCAGAUACCCAGUAUCCAAUCUGACAAGCGAGAGCUUUGAGAUGCCUUUGGUAUGAACCAUAAAAAAUGGCUGGAAAAACAAUGAACAAGAGAUGUGACAACUUCAAUUAUUUGGUUCUGCUAAGAGCUGGAAGACAAGGCCUGCUGGAAAAGCUGUUGGGGAGCCCUAGGGUGUCAACCAGGCUACAAAAAUGGCAGGUGACAAGGACAACACACUUUUUUUUUUUUUUUCCUUCUCCCCCUCCUAAAUGCUGCUAAAAACCACAGGCCAUCGCUAAAAAGACAAAUUAUUGCACAAUGAAUUUCAUGGAGGACAACAAUGUGUCACCUUCUUAACAAGCCCUCCCUCUUAGAUAUAUCAUCAACCUCUAUUAUGAUGACCUUUAAAAAGAAAACUUAACCAUUGAAACUCCCAGCUCAGAAGAACAAUCACCCUACCAGUAAAAUGGAAGCUGAAACAUUUAAAGUGUUCAGUUUUAAAAUCACAUGCUUUUAUUUAUUUUUUUGCC
This is a long non-coding RNA of Acipenser ruthenus (sterlet), 965 nucleotides long. RefSeq lists it as uncharacterized. Lineage: Eukaryota; Metazoa; Chordata; Actinopteri; Acipenseriformes; Acipenseridae. The transcript has 4 exons. The record is from RefSeq and is a predicted model, not a curated record.